RNAcentral lists this ribosomal RNA (172 nucleotides) under Nansenia ardesiaca. RNAcentral describes it as "partial 12S rRNA". The record is from RNAcentral. Lineage: Eukaryota; Metazoa; Chordata; Actinopteri; Argentiniformes; Microstomatidae.
CACCGCGGUUAUACGAGAGGCCCAAGUUGAUGGUUACCGGCGUAAAGAGUGGUUACGGAACUUUUAAACUAAAGCCGAACACCCUUUAGGCUGUCAUACGCACCUGAGGGCACGAAGCCCCCUCACGAAAGUGGCUUUACCCCCCCCCCCCGAACCCACGACAGCUAUGAUA